RNAcentral lists this ribosomal RNA (443 nucleotides) under uncultured bacterium. RNAcentral's name for it is "partial 16S ribosomal RNA". It matches the Rfam family "Bacterial small subunit ribosomal RNA", at positions 338 to 795 of the family's 1533-position model. The record is from RNAcentral.
CCUACGGGAGGCAGCAGUGGGGAAUAUUGGGCAAUGGGCGCAAGCCUGACCCAGCAACGCCGCGUGAAGGAAGAAGGCUUUCGGGUUGUAAACUUCUUUUCUGAGGGACGAAGAAAGUGACGGUACCUCAGGAAUAAGCUACGGCUAACUUCGUGCCAGCAGCUGCGGUAAUACGUAGGUGGCAAGCGUUAUCCGGAUUUAUUGGGUGGAAAGGGCGUGUAGGCGGGAAAGCAAGUCAGAUGUGAAAACUCAGGGCUCAACCCUGAGCCUGCAUUUGAUACUGUUUUUCUUGAGUGCUGGAGAGGCAAUCGGAAUUCCGUGUGUAGCGGUGAAAUGCGUAGAUAUACGGAGGAACACCAGAGGCGAAGGCAGAUUGCUGGACAGUAACUGACGCUGAGGCGCGAAAGCGCGGGUAGCGAACAGGAUUAGAUACCCCAGUAGUC